Pelobates cultripes (western spadefoot toad) is the source of this 327-nucleotide non-coding RNA. The record is from the annotation of a GenBank genome assembly. NCBI's taxonomy places the organism in Eukaryota, Metazoa, Chordata, Amphibia, Anura, Pelobatidae.
CUCACCAAGUCUAGAGCCGCCACUGUACAGAGAUAUUAAUACCAUACCAGAGGUGGCUCUGUAAUUAGGCGACUUAGGCGGCUGAGCCUAAACCACCUUGGUGCAAUUUGAUCUGCCGGGUCCUCGGUCUAUGACCGAGGGCCCGAUGCAGGGAGGGGGCUUGGCGGCUUGCCCUUUAUGCUGCCGGGUGCGGAGUCCCUCCAUUCAGUGUGCCCAUAUUGGAAGAGCCCCUACGCUGUCGAUCUGCAGCACCGCCGGGUGCAGAGCUGCAGACCAUGUUUUAGAGAUCUUGUGAUCUCCCAGAUCGCUGCCGCGAGUUACCAUGGC